This 818-nucleotide long non-coding RNA is filed under the name Gallus gallus (chicken). RNAcentral's name for it is "long non-coding RNA NONGGAT003428". The record is from RNAcentral. Lineage: Eukaryota; Metazoa; Chordata; Aves; Galliformes; Phasianidae.
UGGGAAACCACGUCAGAGCAGAAGGAAGCUGUAAGAAUCCAGGCAAUUAAGGCAGGGUUCUGUCCAGUUCAACACAUUUUCUUUAAGUCUUUCACACUUUGAAUGUGACUUCUUUCAGGGGAAAGGGAGAAGUAUUACAGAAAGCUAGUUAUGGUUCUGGUAGACUGCACAGACCUGAGUGGAGCAAGAACCACAUCCUCCAUGAAGGCUUCAGCUGUGCAUUAUCUGCUGUUAGGCUCUUCUGUUACUUCGUAUUCUGUAGCAUUUGAGGGGUCUGUAACAGCACUCCUGUGGUCUUUGUGUGUUCUGCAAAGUCUGUUUUGCUCGAUAUGGGAGAUUUGUUUAAUCUGAGGCUUGGGUGGGAUUUUACUUUUUUUAUUUAUAUAAACUGUUGUAGCAUUACUACAGUACAUAAAUUUGUGUUUUAACUUUACAGAGUCAGUAUCGUGGCUUGCAUACAUUAGAAAAGAAAUCAGAUACAGGUUUAAAGGAUACAAAGGAACAUCAAAACUGCUCUGCUUCCUUACGAUCUUCCUCGAUGUAAAAAGAUGUCAGGAGGAAAAAAACUCCUCCAAAGACACCAACAAAAACACAGAUGAUGAAGCUGUACUGCAGGCUGCAGAAACUCCAGUGGAAUGACUGAUCUUUCUUGGCUUGAAUAGCAUUGGAGAUCUAGGGAGUGAAAAAUGCUGUCAUCAAUCUGAGAUAAAACCAUACUUCUCUCAUGAUUUAAGCAGACUCUUCGCAUUGUGGUCCUUGAAAAGAAUAAAGCUGAGCAGCUCAUCUCCAGAUAGCCUGCAAAGGACAGAUGUUUGGCA